Phyllostomus discolor (pale spear-nosed bat) is the source of this 1923-nucleotide long non-coding RNA. RefSeq lists it as uncharacterized. The transcript is spliced from 3 exons. The record is from RefSeq and is a predicted model, not a curated record. Lineage: Eukaryota; Metazoa; Chordata; Mammalia; Chiroptera; Phyllostomidae.
UCCGCUCGGCGCUGCAGCCGCUCCUCACCCUACUUCCGCCUGCUCCGCCCUGAAAUACCGGAACUCACCCACGCCCGGAUGUGACGUCACCGCUGCCUCGCCCUCCCACCGCCAGGCAGGCGGGAUGGUCGGCCACUGGAGGGAGCCUCGCGGCGAGGAGCAAGGGGCGGUGCCUCCCAGUCGCCCUAGGCGACGCUCGCGGGCUUUCCCCUAGGCCAGUAAAGGGGGGCGGGGUUGGGAAGAAGGAAGGCUACCAUGGUAACCCGAAGGCGCACGGUCUAGCCUCACUGGUCAGGCAGGCUGCCUACGAUGGUUGGUCAACUGCUGUACUGCCCAUACCCCCCGCCACUGCUGACCCAGCACCACCUAUCCACUAGGGCAUCCUGUAGUUCUAUACUCUAAAUAUCCUGCAAGCCUCUGCUUCCACUCAUCCCACACUGGCUCCAAAACCAGAUGCUAAAAAAAACCUUAGACUUUUUGGGCCUCGACUUCAAAAGAGCCUCAACUCAGCAACCUCCUUUUAAACCCAGCUCAGGGAGGAAUCCUCUGCGAUGGGUCACCGUUACCAGAUCUGUUGUGCAACAGCAAAAUAUGAGUACCUGGAAAACUGUACUGGGGGACUGAGCCUCCAUUCUGUGCUAUAACCUUCACCAAUUUCACUGCAACUUCUGCUUCCAGGGAUCCUCCUUAAAGUCACCCUUGGAUGUCCAGAAGAGAAGAGUGACCUGUCUUACUGGCAGCUCCAGCCUGGGCUCCAAAGAAGAUUUAUGGUCUCCUCUGCCUGGCUGAUUGAAACUAAGACUUUGUAAGAUCAAAGGUAAGGGAGGAAACCCCCUCUGUCAGGAAGCAACCUGCAGUCUUUAGGACUCUCCUCUUCUGAGGCUUUGUACAACUCCUGGGUUAGGUGCUCUAAGGGUCUUCCAGCCUGCUUACUUUCUGGGAGAUCUUUCUUCUGAAGAGAAUCAGGUCUGUUGAAUGCCAUGUGGCACGCAGAUGCUUCUUUCUACUGUGACAGAGAGGAGCCCAAGUUAUAGCUGCACUGGGGGGCUUGGGUGGAGUCUGGGUGUGGGAGGAGGAUGCUCUGCUUUAGCCCCGAGGCCUGUUCCAUGUGUCCUUGUUCCCAUUAGUCUGAACACCCUCCUCCCUCCACACACAUACCAAUUCCACAGUGCCCUUGAUGUAGAUCAAUAGCUUGUCCCAAGCCCCAGUCAAUUCCUGUUGUGUGGCGCUUGCCUUCCAGGCGAAGACAACAAAUGGGUAUAUAAGCCCCAAGGUAGGCACCCAUGGUGUUGUCUAAUGUCCUUGCUCCUUUAUGGCUCUCAGUAGGGGGUUGUGUGUAAUUGUUACAUUCCUGACCUUCCUUUUUACCCUUGCUCCUUAAGUUGUAGUUCUCUUCUCUGGGAACCUUGAACCAUCCUGGAGAGCCAGAGGCUGAAGGGAGAGGCUGGGAAAAGGACUAGCAGGAGUUGAAAGGACUUCAGUGUUUGGGGCACUAGGGGAACUGAGGUAGACAGGAAUAUUGAUGUAGGAGAGUAACAGCUCUCUUAAAAGGAGACUCUGGAUGGCAUAACUAGGCAGAAACAUCAGAUGGCCUCUGAUGGAAGCUUCCUAGCUCUCCUGGGAGUUACCAUCUAUGCAGCUAUUUCAAACAAGAUUAAGCCAUUCUGAACCAGAGGAGCUGGGUGAGGCAGCAAUCACAGAGGGAAAAGGGACUGGAUGGGUAUGAUAGGGUGAACUACUCAGCUGAUGUGAUGAGAACAGACAGACUAGGUAGAGAGGAUCAGAGGCCAUGGGCUCUGUGGGGGGCCAGCCUGCCAAUACUGGAACCAGCCUGGCACUGACAAGCCCUGGGGAGAGAGGCCAAGGUCAGGGAUCACGGCAGAGGGGGUGGGGCAUUCUGUGGGUCCAAAUGAACAGAGGAGA